Long non-coding RNA from Peromyscus leucopus (white-footed mouse), 352 nucleotides. RefSeq lists it as uncharacterized. The record is from RefSeq and is a predicted model, not a curated record. Lineage: Eukaryota; Metazoa; Chordata; Mammalia; Rodentia; Cricetidae. The transcript has 3 exons.
ACUGAGUCCCCAGGCACGCAUUGGGGUGGCCACGGAUUACCACAUCUCUCCAGGACUCAAGCAGCUGGAAACAAUGCAUUUGAAAGACCACUGGACCCUGGAGUGAAGUGUAAGAAUUACAACAAUUUGCAGAACUUCUUAAAGGAUCAUGUGGUGAAGUUUCCAUCUACAGUGUGGAUAUCUGAUGGUGUAGACGUGAGAAAGCUUGAUGGACAGAGCAAACAGUUUCAUCUGGACCAUCUGUAAGAGCAGAUGUUCUGGUGUCCUUCCGUGGGAGUGCAAGCAGUAUGGGAAGAGGUAGAGUGCAGGGAACUCUCAUGCACAACAGCGCAAAGCAGGCCCUCUGCUCUUA